CGCCUCAUGGCUGAAAGGCCGACGGUGACGAACCGGAGCGAGAAGUCAGCAGAGGCCAUAGUAGCUCCCGGCAUGGGGCGAAGGGC
Molecule: non-coding RNA, 86 nt
Organism: Candidatus Accumulibacter sp. SK-11
Lineage: Bacteria; Pseudomonadati; Pseudomonadota; Betaproteobacteria
Source: Rfam